This 964-nucleotide ribosomal RNA is filed under the name uncultured bacterium. Its description in RNAcentral is "bacterial SSU rRNA". It matches the Rfam family "Bacterial small subunit ribosomal RNA", at positions 523 to 1482 of the family's 1533-position model. The record is from RNAcentral.
AUACGUAGGGUGCAAGCGUUAUCCGGAAUUAUUGGGCGUAAAGGGCUCGUAGGCGGUUCGUCGCGUCCGGUGUGAAAGUCCAUCGCUUAACGGUGGAUCUGCGCCGGGUACGGGCGGGCUGGAGUGCGGUAGGGGAGACUGGAAUUCCCGGUGUAACGGUGGAAUGUGUAGAUAUCGGGAAGAACACCAAUGGCGAAGGCAGGUCUCUGGGCCGUUACUGACGCUGAGGAGCGAAAGCGUGGGGAGCGAACAGGAUUAGAUACCCUGGUAGUCCACGCCGUAAACGGUGGAUGCUGGAUGUGGGGCCCGUUCCACGGGUUCCGUGUCGGAGCUAACGCGUUAAGCAUCCCGCCUGGGGAGUACGGCCGCAAGGCUAAAACUCAAAGAAAUUGACGGGGGCCCGCACAAGCGGCGGAGCAUGCGGAUUAAUUCGAUGCAACGCGAAGAACCUUACCUGGGCUUGACAUGUUCCCGACCGCGGCAGAGAUGUCGUUUCCCUUCGGGGCGGGUUCACAGGUGGUGCAUGGUCGUCGUCAGCUCGUGUCGUGAGAUGUUGGGUUAAGUCCCGCAACGAGCGCAACCCUCGCCCUGUGUUGCCAGCACGUCAUGGUGGGAACUCACGGGGGACCGCCGGGGUCAACUCGGAGGAAGGUGGGGAUGACGUCAGAUCAUCAUGCCCCUUACGUCCAGGGCUUCACGCAUGCUACAAUGGCCGGUACAACGGGAUGCGACACGGCGACGUGGAGCGGAUCCCUGAAAACCGGUCUCAGUUCGGAUUGGAGUCUGCAACCCGACUCCAUGAAGGCGGAGUCGCUAGUAAUCGCGGAUCAGCAACGCCGCGGUGAAUGCGUUCCCGGGCCUUGUACACACCGCCCGUCAAGUCAUGAAAGUGGGUAGCACCCGAAGCCGGUGGCCUAACCCUUUGUGGAUGGAGCCGUCCAAGGUGAGACUCGUGAUUGGGACU